This 497-nucleotide ribosomal RNA is filed under the name uncultured bacterium. Its description in RNAcentral is "partial 16S ribosomal RNA". It matches the Rfam family "Bacterial small subunit ribosomal RNA", at positions 28 to 507 of the family's 1533-position model. The record is from RNAcentral.
GAUGAACGCUGGCGGCGUGCCUAAUACAUGCAAGUCGAGCGAACGGACGAGAAGCUUGCUUCUCUGAUGUUAGCGGCGGACGGGUGAGUAACACGUGGAUAACCUACCUAUAAGACUGGGACAACUUCGGGAAACCGGAGCUAAUACCGGAUAAUAUUUUGAACCGCAUGGUUCAAAAGUGAAAGACGGUCUUGCUGUCACUUAUAGAUGGAUCCGCGCUGCAUUAGCUAGUUGGUAAGGUAACGGCUUACCAAGGCAACGAUGCAUAGCCGACCUGAGAGGGUGAUCGGCCACACUGGAACUGAGACACGGUCCAGACUCCUACGGGAGGCAGCAGUAGGGAAUCUUCCGCAAAGGGCGAAAGCCUGACGGAGCAACGCCGCGUGAGUGAUGAAGGUCUUCGGAUCGUAAAACUCUGUUAUUAGGGAAGAACAUAUGUGUAAGUAACUGUGCACAUCUUGACGGUACCUAAUCAGAAAGCCACGGCUAACUACGUG